AGGACGAACGCUGGCGGCGUGCUUAACACAUGCAAGUCGAGCGGUAAGGCCUUUCGGGGUACACGAGCGGCGAACGGGUGAGUAACACGUGGGUGAUCUGCCCUGCACUUCGGGAUAAGCCUGGGAAACUGGGUCUAAUACCGGAUAUGACCUCCUAUCGCAUGGUGGGUGGUGGAAAGUAUUUAUCGGUGCAGGAUGGGCCCGCGGCCUAUCAGUCGUUGUUGGUGGGUAAUGGCCUACAAGGCGACGACGGGUAGCCGACCUGAGAGGGUGACCGGCCACACGUGGACUGACGACGACGGCCCACGACUCCGUACGGGAGGC
Molecule: ribosomal RNA, 324 nt
Filed under: uncultured soil bacterium
Lineage: Bacteria
Description: bacterial SSU rRNA
Rfam family: Bacterial small subunit ribosomal RNA
Source: RNAcentral